This is a long non-coding RNA of Penaeus indicus, 578 nucleotides long. RefSeq lists it as uncharacterized. The record is from RefSeq and is a predicted model, not a curated record. The transcript is spliced from 2 exons. NCBI's taxonomy places the organism in Eukaryota, Metazoa, Arthropoda, Malacostraca, Decapoda, Penaeidae.
CGUCGAUCUUUACUUCCAAAAUCAUACAAUUUCCAACUCAGAAAUACAUCAAGAUCUUUUGUGACAACAGAAAGAGUUCCUGUGUUGCAUUACCCACAAAAAAGAGGAAAGAACCAGGAGGGAGAACCGCCGCCCCAGUCCGGCCUCCACCUCCGCCAUUUUCCACAGGGAGACCCCGAGAGAGACACACUUUCCUCCUCCGCCAAGAUGUUCGCCGCUAGGAAUGCCGUAAGCAGGAUCGCACAGGCCAGCAACACCAUGGUGAUGGCGAAGAGAACUAAUGUCAUCUCUGGACCACCGAAGAAUAAGAUUAGCACUUUGGAGAAGGCUAUUCAUGGUGUUGGCAUUGCUGUCGGACUAUGCGCUAUCCCCGCUUGGGUCUUGGCAAACAUCAAGCACUACCGUGGCCGUGAUGAAUAAAGCAGACCUUAUCGAUCUACAAUAACAUGCAUCUUGAAUUGUAAAAUAGUAACAUUCACAUGGUUGAUAUAUCCUUUACGAAAUGUCUCCUUCAUUCCAUACAAGAUGAAAAUUGUGGAAAAUCAUUUUGUAAAUAAUAAAUUAUAGAUAAAAUACAA